This 345-nucleotide ribosomal RNA is filed under the name Triticum aestivum (bread wheat). RNAcentral describes it as "partial small subunit ribosomal RNA". The record is from RNAcentral. Lineage: Eukaryota; Viridiplantae; Streptophyta; Magnoliopsida; Poales; Poaceae.
AUGAAUCCCGAAGCACCCGGGUGGAAUAAGAGGCUUAGGACUGGAGCUGCAGCACCAAGCAGGGGCGCCAUGCCCUACUCGGAUCAGUGCGUUCGAGAAGGCUAUGAGGUGUUUCGCAGAGAACCCGACAGAGAAUGUGAUCACACCUGUACUGUACUUGGCACCUCAUUCGACUUUGUGGGUGAGGCCUAUGACUUCUACAACCUGUAUUCAUGGGAAAAAGGUUUUGGCAUACGGUAUAGGAAGAUCCGGCUAAAUGUGGAGUGGACGAAAUGCAUGCAAGAUAUAUUCUGUGGUUGUGAGGGUAAAGCAGGUGUAGAGAACACAAGGCUCGUGCAGAUGUGA